This is a long non-coding RNA of Erinaceus europaeus (western European hedgehog), 343 nucleotides long. RefSeq lists it as uncharacterized. Lineage: Eukaryota; Metazoa; Chordata; Mammalia; Eulipotyphla; Erinaceidae. The transcript has 2 exons. The record is from RefSeq and is a predicted model, not a curated record.
CGUGAGGGCUAGGGGGAGCCUUGCACCCCCAGGGUGCUUCUCCCCAGUCCGGCUCCGCGGUGGUCCCGCCCCAGGCCACGCUGGACACCUAGACUUGGGGUCUGUUUGCUGGGCACAGGUAGGCGGGCGUGGGACUCUCUUACCCGCUGGCGCCGCCUCCCCUCUGCCGCGCGGUGUCCGGAAAGUGGAAGAGCCGGGGCGGGCUGAUUCAGGAUGAGAGAACUGAAGCACAGCAAGGUUAAAGUGUUUUGGCCAAGGUCAAAUCCAGGCAGUCUGGUCCCCGGAUGUACUCUCUAGCUCAUAUCUGGCUGCUGCCAAACAGCAUAAAUAACUGUCACAAGGA